Molecule: ribosomal RNA, 428 nt
Filed under: uncultured bacterium
Lineage: Bacteria
Description: partial 16S ribosomal RNA
Rfam family: Bacterial small subunit ribosomal RNA
Source: RNAcentral
GUGGGGAAUAUUGGGCAAUGGGCGAAAGCCUGACCCAGCAACGCCGCGUGAAGGAAGAAGGCCUUCGGGUUGUAAACUUCUUUUAUGAGGGACGAAGGAAGUGACUGUACCUCAUGAAUAAGCCACGGCUAACUACGUGCCAGCAGCCGCGGUAAUACGUAGGUGGCAAGCGUUGUCCGGAUUUACUGGGUGUAAAGGGCGCGUAGUCAGACUGGCAAGUCAGAUGUGAAAUCCAUGAGCUCAACUCAUGAACUGCAUUUGAAACUGUUGGUCUUGAGUAUCGGAGAGGCAAGCGGAAUUCCUAGUGUAGCGGUGAAAUGCGUAGAUAUUAGGAGGAACACCAGUGGCGAAGGCGGCUUGCUGGACGACAACUGACGCUGAGGCGCGAAAGCGUGGGGAGCAAACAGGAUUAGAAACCCGUGUAGUCC